Molecule: ribosomal RNA, 44 nt
Filed under: Tuber oligospermum
Lineage: Eukaryota; Fungi; Ascomycota; Pezizomycetes; Pezizales; Tuberaceae
Description: partial 28S ribosomal RNA
Source: RNAcentral
UGAGCCUCGGAUCAGGUAGGGAUACCCGCUGAACUUAAGCAUAU